Molecule: unclassified non-coding RNA, 668 nt
Filed under: Hevea brasiliensis (rubber tree)
Lineage: Eukaryota; Viridiplantae; Streptophyta; Magnoliopsida; Malpighiales; Euphorbiaceae
Source: RNAcentral
CUUUCAGCAGCCAUAGUAUCAGGUGGCUGGUCUUCAAUAGUUGGGAGCUCACCUUGGACAUCACUGGUCACAACAGCAGGUUCCACAGAUGAUACCUUCCUGUGCUUCUCUAGAGCAUUAGUAAUGGCAAAGACAGCAGCAUCUCGUUUCUCUUGGAGCCUCUUCAGUGAAGCUUGUUCCUUGGCCAUCACAGCAGCUUCCCGCUUCUCCAACAUUUCUUGGGCUUUUCUUGUUUUGGUUUCAUACUCCCUUUCCUGGUCUUCCAACUCAUGAAAGCGCCUUUUCAAGGAUCUUUCAAGCCCAUGGAAAUGUUCUUCGAGUUCUUUCCAUUUCAAGUUGAGUGUUACAGCCCGGUGACUUUCAAGUUCAGCAAAUGCUUUCUGAAGCUGUUGUAUCCUAGAGGUCGUGGAGUCCAUAAGUGUUACAACUGAUUCUGGAUCUUCCAUGGCAGAAUAGCACUGGCUUGACUAGCUUGAAUACACCAAAACCCUAGAUCGAGAAAAUUAGAAAAACAAGACGACUGAAACCCUGAGUGAUUCGAGCAAAAUAUAAGACAAAAACGUCGAAAUUGAGCAGGGAAACGAUCAAUCCAUGGCGGAUUGGGUAGUGUUUGUGUGUGGCUGCUACUCUACAAUCCCUAGAGAGAGAGAGAAAGAGAGAGAGAAAGA